UGUAGAGUGGAGCAGUUAGGAAGCUCGUGAGGCUCAUAAUCUCAAGGUCACAGGUUCAAAUCCUGUCUCUACAA
This 74-nucleotide transfer RNA is filed under the name Paenibacillus roseus. It matches the Rfam family "tRNA". Rfam says of the family: Transfer RNA (tRNA) molecules are approximately 80 nucleotides in length. Their secondary structure includes four short double-helical elements and three loops (D, anti-codon, and T loops). Lineage: Bacteria; Bacillati; Bacillota; Bacilli; Caryophanales; Paenibacillaceae. The record is from Rfam by way of RNAcentral.